GAUCGCAUGAUGAUUGAAUGAAAGCUCCGGCGGUUAGAGAUGGGCAUGCGGGUCAUUAGCUUGUUGGUGAGGUAACGGCUCACCAAGGCUGCGAUGACUAGGGGGCCUGAGAGGGUGAUCCCCCACACUGGUACUGAGACACGGACCAGACUUCUAGCGGAAGGCAGCAGUGAGGAAUAUUGGGCAAUGGAGGCAACUCUGACCCAGCCAUGCCGCGUGCAGGAUGACGGCCCUAUGGGUUGUAAACUGCUUUUCUGAGAGAAGAAUCCCCCCGAAUUUUCGGGGGUUGCCGGUAUCUCAGGAAUAAGCAUCGGCUAACUCCGUGCCAGCAGCCGCGGUAAUACGGAGGAUGCAAGCGUUAUCCGGAUUCAUUGGGUUUAAAGGGUGCGUAGGCGGGAAAGUAAGUCAGUGGUGAAAGCCUGCAGCUCAACUGUGGAACUGCCAUUGAUACUGCUUUUCUUGAGUUUGGUUGAGGUAGGCGGAAUGUGUAAUGUAGCGGUGAAAUGCUUAGAUAUUACACAGAACACCGAUUGCGAAGGCAGCUUACUAAACCGAUACUGACGCUGAUGCACGAAAGCGUGGGGAGCGAACAGGAUUAGAUACCCUGGUAGUCCACGCUGUAAACUAUGAUCACUCGCUGUUGGCAAUACAUCGUCAGCGGCUGAGCGAAAGCAUUAAGUGAUCCACCUGGGGAGUACGGUCGCAAGAUUGAAACUCAAAGGAAUUGACGGGGGCCCGCACAAGCGGUGGAACAUGUGGUUUAAUUCGAUGAUACGCGAGGAACCUUACCUGGGCUUAAAUGUAGACUGCAUUUCCGGGAAACCGGAAUUUCCUUCGGGACCGUCUACAAGGUGCUGCAUGGUUGUCGUCAGCUCGUGCCGUGAGGUGUCGGGUUAAGUCCCAUAACGAGCGCAACCCCUAUCGUUAGUUGCCAGCGAGUAAUGUCGGGGACUCUAGCGAAACUGCCGGUGUAAACCGAGACGAAGGUGGGGAUGACGUCAAAUCAGCACGGCCCUUAUGUCCAGGGCUACACACGUGUUACAAUGGUCAGUACAAAGGGCAGCUACCUGGUGACAGGAUGCUAAUCUCGAAAACUGGUCUCAGUUCGGAUUGGAGUCUGCAAUUCGACUCCAUGAAGCUGGAAUCGCUAGUAAUCGCGCAUCAGC
Molecule: ribosomal RNA, 1166 nt
Filed under: uncultured organism
Description: bacterial SSU rRNA
Rfam family: Bacterial small subunit ribosomal RNA
Source: RNAcentral